This 255-nucleotide unclassified non-coding RNA is filed under the name Hevea brasiliensis (rubber tree). Lineage: Eukaryota; Viridiplantae; Streptophyta; Magnoliopsida; Malpighiales; Euphorbiaceae. The record is from RNAcentral.
AAUAAUAAUAAUAAUAAUAAAAACUUCAAAGAUCAAGGAAUUGCUUGUGACUGUUGCUACAAAUUUCCUUCCUACUAAGUGCUUAUUUGGCAUUGAGUUUGGAGAGUCAAAACUGCUUUUUUGAAUAAAAAUACUAUUUUAUGUGCUGAUGAAAAAAGCAGUUUGAAAAAAUUUGUUUUAUUAUUUUAAUAUUUUUAUAAUUAAAAUUAAUUAAAAUUAAUUUUUAAUUAAUUUUUAAUAUUUUUUAAUUAAUAU